Molecule: non-coding RNA, 375 nt
Organism: Pelobates cultripes (western spadefoot toad)
Lineage: Eukaryota; Metazoa; Chordata; Amphibia; Anura; Pelobatidae
Source: the annotation of a GenBank genome assembly
CUCCGCCCUACCCAGCAUGCUAGCUGUCACUAAAUUCCUGUGGCUGCUAUGCCUACCUCCUGGCUCUGUCAAGGCCUAUUCCUCUUAGCUGCGCUGAUCCAUGGGCUACAUGACAGGCGCACAGUCGGAUUUGCCGGCAUAUGAGCUAACCUUACCCAAACCCCCAUUAAAACACGGACACAGGUUAUACUGUUGGAAAUAAUUCGUCCACAGCUUUAUUAAAUUAUUAAUAAAAUAAUUAAGGAAUAACAAAUGGGGUAAUUGCCAACAAAUCUUAAUAAUGUUAACCUCCCCCAUAUACAUAACAUACCCCUAGCAAUGACCCCACAAUAAUAACAAUAGAUAACAAUCUAAAUAACAUGUUAACACAGAAAC